AAGUCGUAACAAGGUUUCCGUAGGUGAACCUGCGGAAGGAUCAUUAAAAGUGAUUGGUUAUACAUUUCAUGUAUCAACUGUCACAAACCCAUUCCGAGUACCUUGCCUGUUGCUUCCAUGGGGCCUGACUUUGGUCACUCUUGUGAUGCGAAUCCCAAGAGAGUCCCCAUGGGGGUAGUAUAAUUCAUGAAUCCAUGUCUUCUGUCUGAAUGAUUAAAAUACAAAUGUUAAAA
RNAcentral lists this unclassified non-coding RNA (233 nucleotides) under plant metagenome. RNAcentral describes it as "partial contains small subunit ribosomal RNA and internal transcribed spacer 1". The stretch from base 1 to 46 matches the Rfam family "Eukaryotic small subunit ribosomal RNA", at positions 1786 to 1831 of the family's 1831-position model. The record is from RNAcentral.